AUGACCCGCAAGGCCGACGGCAUCCGCCGCCGCUGGUGCAAGCCCAGCGCCCCGCACAACGGGGCGGCGCUCAUGGGUCCACC
RNAcentral lists this ribozyme (83 nucleotides) under unclassified sequences. RNAcentral describes it as "Twister_sister_ribozyme". It matches the Rfam family "Twister_sister_ribozyme". The record is from Rfam by way of RNAcentral.